AUCACCUCCUUAAAGGGAGACCUAAUUCAGGUAGGAGACGAAAAAAAAGUAGUCGCUACCAAGAAUCAAUCCCAAAAGGUCGGAGCGAGGCAAAAUUGGCUUUCAAACUAGGUUCUGGGUUCACACAAGACCUGAAUCAGGAACAAGGGCUAUUAGCUCAGGUGGUUAGAGCGCACCCCUGAUAAGGGUGAGGUCCCUGGUUCGAGUCCAGGAUGGCCCACCUGUACAGGUGGCAAAAAGAAAGAAAAAAAGCGAGGAAUCACCACCUUAUCUUACUUAUAUAGUAAGAGAGAAUGCUGGCUCUGAGUACAGAGUCCAGAGGAACCUUGAAAACUGCAUAAUU
Molecule: transfer RNA, 343 nt
Filed under: uncultured cyanobacterium
Lineage: Bacteria; Bacillati; Cyanobacteriota
Description: partial contains 16S ribosomal RNA, 16S-23S ribosomal RNA intergenic spacer, and 23S ribosomal RNA
Rfam family: tRNA (bases 147-220)
Source: RNAcentral